RNAcentral lists this long non-coding RNA (1096 nucleotides) under Homo sapiens (human). RNAcentral describes it as "HSALNT0296705". The record is from RNAcentral. Lineage: Eukaryota; Metazoa; Chordata; Mammalia; Primates; Hominidae.
GGAGAAACGGCGCAGCUGGGACUCUGUGCUGUGGCAGCCUAAGCGAACCUCUUCACGGGCUAAUGACAAUUGCAGGCAUUGUUGGGCUGUGUCCUAAGGUGAAUCAACAUAAAGAAAAGCCCUGGCUGCUCGUGCACUGAUAACUUCAUCUUUUCGGACAUCUGGGAACUACCGCCACAAUGUCUGGAAAAAAAAUGACUUCAAACUAAUGCAGCAGAGGCAAACCAUGGUUUGGCCAAAAAUGGAACAGAAUUUACAAGGGAAAAGGGAAGUUCCUGGAGUAAUAUGUGUAGGUCAGAUGAGGAUGGAACUGGUGAAUGAGCAGAAGAGAAGGUUGGAAGAGUGCAGUGGUGAUGACAGCCCUCCGCUGCUCCUUCCCCAGAGGAAGGAGCUCCAAUGGAGUCUCACUCUGUCGCCUAGGCUGGAGUGCAGUGGCACAAUCUUGGCUCACUGCAACCUCCGCCUCCCAGGUUCAAGCGAUUCUCCUGCCUCAGCCUCCUGAGUAGCUGGGAUUACAGAUGCACACCACCACGCCUGGCUAAUUUUUAUACUUUUAAUAGAUACGGGGCUUCACCAUGUUGGUCAAGCUGCUCUUGAACUCCUGACCUCGUGAUCUGCCCGCCUUGGCCUCCCAAAGUGCUGGGAUUACAGGUGUGAGCCGCUGCGCCUUGCCUUUCUUAUAUAUUUCUUAUGUCUUAUAUUGCCUGAAGUUAACUGAUGGGUUAAGGGGGCAAAACGUCUCUCUCCAAGUCUUGCCUAAAUGGUGCACUGCCUGACAUCAGAAAGCAGAGAUGCUCCCAUCUAUGAUUCUCAGCUGUUGGCCUCAGCAAUUAAAUAAGAAAAGCAAGCACUCUUUACAUCCUGAGUUCCAUUAAAUAAAAACCCUCCUCCUACCAAAAGCCAAUCUUUAUUUUUUUGGUUCCACUUUGUUUUUUGUUUUUUUUUCUUUUAUUAUUAUACUUUAAGUUUUAGGGUACAUGUGCACAUUGUGCAAGUUAGUUACAUAUGUAUACAUGUGCCAUGCUGGUGCGCUGCACCCACUAACUCGUCAUCUAGCAUUAGGUAUAUCUCCCAAUGCUAUCCCUCCCCCCUCCCC